UAUCUAGAUCCAGACCAUGACUGAUGGAUUUCUGUCAAGGAGGAUCCACAUUGGCGAGUGUCCUAAUCUCUCAUGAUCAUUCCAUUACACAAGUAAAGACAUCACAUCAUAGUGGCGAAAGACAUCAUCCUCACCAAACUGGCAUAAGAUAAAUGCAGAUUGGAGACCGAGUCGCCAAGUCAUCAGUAUUUUCACAAAACCAGCAAAAUUUCAGUCCCUGAAAAUGUCCAAACAAUACGAUCAACUUUGCUGGGACCUCAUGGCAUCAUUCAUAAUUCCACCAUGGUGCCAAACUCAGCCGCUAGCUUCCUUCUUGGCCACGUCUGGAUGUUGACUGGAUGGUAUAUUCAUUGGGUCCCCUUGAUCCAAACAUUUUGUCUACAUCCUUCAUAUAUUGCAACAUCAGUGUCCUGCUACUGACAUCUGAAAGCUGGAUCAAUGCAAAGACUGGAGGGAAACGGUGACAUUGUUUUUUUGAUACUACAGGCACCAAGCAGUGAGGGUCGCUUCGAAAACAAUAUGUCUGUCUCGAAAAUUUGGGACGCCAUACUCCUCCCUGAUUGGUCGAGAUUAAUGAAUGAAUGUUGGAAGAAAGUUGGGACGGGUCGACCAAUCAGGGGCCUGUUUGAAGAAAGAUGGGAGGCUGAAGACAAAUGAAAAGGUUGGAUAUUCCCAAGUUUGCUCACUCAACAGGAGAACAUUGGCAGGGCCCCUGGCCCCUUGACCCACCUCAUAGUUCGCUGUUGGGUGUCCCAACUUUGUGUGACGUCACACCCUGCAGUUUUUAAUUUAUUUUUAUUUUUGCAUUUUGAAAGGAAGUUCUCAAUGUAAUUUUUA
This is a long non-coding RNA of Mizuhopecten yessoensis (Yesso scallop), 837 nucleotides long. RefSeq lists it as uncharacterized. The record is from RefSeq and is a predicted model, not a curated record. NCBI's taxonomy places the organism in Eukaryota, Metazoa, Mollusca, Bivalvia, Pectinida, Pectinidae. The transcript is spliced from 3 exons.